RNAcentral lists this ribosomal RNA (457 nucleotides) under uncultured bacterium. RNAcentral's name for it is "partial 16S ribosomal RNA". It matches the Rfam family "Bacterial small subunit ribosomal RNA", at positions 28 to 523 of the family's 1533-position model. The record is from RNAcentral.
GAUGAACGCUGGCGGCGUGCCUAAUACAUGCAAGUCGAGCGGUAAGGCCCUUCGGGGUACACGAGCGGCGGACGGGUGAGUAACGCGUAAGAACAUACCCCAAACUGAGGGAUAACUGCUCGAAAGAGUAGCUAAUACCGCAUGUGCUCUUCGGAGUAAAGCUUCGGCGGUUUGGGAAUGGCUUGCGUCCGAUUAGCUAGUUGGUAAGGUAAUGGCUUACCAAGGCGACGAUCGGUAGCUGUUCUGAGAGGAUGAUCAGCCACACUGGAACUGAGACACGGUCCAGACUCCUACGGGAGGCAGCAGUAGGGAAUUUUCCACAAUGGGGGCAACCCUGACGGAGCAACGCCGCGUGCAGGAUGAAGGCCUUCGGGUUGUAAACUGCUUUUGUCUGUGACGAAUAUGACGGUAGCAGACGAAUAAGGAUCGGCUAACUACGUGCCAGCAGCCGCAGUAA